AAAGGCUGCAAGUGUAACUACAUUUCUCCAAGAGAAAAAUAUAAAGAUGUAUUUAAUAAUCAUGUUGAAGACUUUGGAAGAAAAUAUUAAUGACAGGAACAUGGAAAACUAACAAUGAAAAAGAAAAAUGAGGAGUGAAUGGCACCAUAACAAACAAUAGUAUGUCACCUGCAUCCGUGUGAAGAGACCACCAAACAGGCUUUAUAUGUUGGCACUGGGACUCGGCAAGGUGAAGAACCUUGCUCAAGGUCAAGCUAGUGGGCACCUGACUUCUAG
Molecule: long non-coding RNA, 276 nt
Filed under: Homo sapiens (human)
Lineage: Eukaryota; Metazoa; Chordata; Mammalia; Primates; Hominidae
Description: HSALNT0393863
Source: RNAcentral